GCUGAUUCGCUGCUCACCUUCAUCGCCGGCCGCCGCUCAACCCCUUCACAGUUAAGUCAUGAGUGAUUCACAAAAUAAAGUGGAGAAAAAGAAGGGCAAAACCCUGGUUUCAUUAAACAACAGGUUCCUUGAUUGCUAAUUUCAAAUAUGGAAUAAUAGGUCAUUUUCGUGUCUUAACAGGUCGUGUUCGGGUCUUAACACGUCGUGUUUGUGUCUUAAACAGGUCAUAUGAUAUGUUGGCAACAUUUUCGUGUCUUAACAGGUCAUUUCGUGUAACCUGUUUAUUAACAGGUUCGUGUUCGUGUUUGGAAAAUCUGACACGAUAAGAUUUCGUGUCGUGUUCGUGUUUACAGGUUUCGUGUUUGUGUCUUAUCGUGUUCGUGUCUUAACAGAUUGGGUUGACCCGAUAUGCCAGCCCUACGUUUUAUGUAAAACUUAACAAACCCAUCGGUUUGAUUAUUUUUGCCUGCUCGUCUGUUGAAGUGGCUUUUUGUGGAUGUUUGGGGACAUAGAUCUAUGACGUGUGGGUGGGUUUUUCGCUUUGUUCUUCAACUUGAUCUUCAUCUUUAUAAUCAUCUCACUCUUCAGUGUCAUUGAUCUCUUCUCCUCAUCCAAGCCUUCUUCAAGAACAAAGAACACAAAAUGACAUAUGAUUGUUAUCAGUAUCUUUUUCUUGAAGAUUUGUCCAUCUCAUGCAGCAAAAUCUUACUGAGUUACUCCCCUCACCUAGCAAUCCAUUCAGUGAAACUUCACGAAGAACAAUACUGGAUAUCCAAGAAAGCAUAUUAGCUAUCUUUGAUUUUUUUAUUUUUUUGGCGUUUUUACAGUGAGUGGUAUUUAGUAGUAUUGGCGUUUGUUUUUUGGUUUGAUGAAAUAGAAGUUGCUGAGAGGUAUCAUUUUAUAGGAUGUCUUUUGGCGCGUAGGUUAAGCGGUGCAUUAUUAUAAUAAAGUAUUCAUCGUUUCAGUUACAGUUUGUAAUUAUAGUUU
This 987-nucleotide long non-coding RNA is filed under the name Helianthus annuus (common sunflower). Its description in RNAcentral is "hypothetical non coding rna". The record is from RNAcentral. Lineage: Eukaryota; Viridiplantae; Streptophyta; Magnoliopsida; Asterales; Asteraceae.